CCUACGGGUGGCUGCAGUGGGGAAUAUUGGGCAAUGGGCGAAAGCCUGACCCAGCGACGCCGCGUGGGCGAUGAAGGCCUUCGGGUUGUAAAGCCCUGUCAUGCGGAAAGAACGACCCUGUGACGCAUACUCACAGGGAGUGACGGUACCGCAGGAGGAAGCACCGGCUAACUCCGUGCCAGCAGCCGCGGUAAUACGGAGGGUGCAAGCGGGGGUCGAGGGUAUUUAGCCGAAAAUGCAAGUCGGCUGUGAAAUACUCCGGCUCAACUGGGGAACUGCAUCUGAAACUGCAUAACUAGAGUACAGAAGAGGGAAACGGAAUUCCCGGUGUAGAGGUGAAAUUCGUAGAUAUCGGGAGGAACACCAGUGGCGAAGGCGGUUUCCUGGUCUGAUACUGACGCUGAGGCGCGAAAGUGUGGGGAGCAAACAGGAUUAGAUACCCCGGUAGUC
Molecule: ribosomal RNA, 450 nt
Filed under: uncultured bacterium
Lineage: Bacteria
Description: partial 16S ribosomal RNA
Rfam family: Bacterial small subunit ribosomal RNA
Source: RNAcentral